CCUCACAUUCUAAAUCCUACAUUACAUCUAGUUUAAAUCCAGGGUAGAGAAUGUGUGGUUUCCCAUUUGGAUGAUCGUUUCUACAUGGGUAGAGGAAUUUAACGAUGAAGUCUCAUCUGAAGUGGCCCUAUAUCUGCAUCUACAUCUAUACCCUCUCUGUUGUACCAUAGAUCUUUCUAAAAUGAGUAAAGUCAGAAUAUAGCGUGAUAUAUGAAAUGCCAGAAGCUGAUCCUCACUGUCAAAGGUCAAGCGAGAGAAUGGACAACAUCUCAACAAAAUAAGUAAAUGGUUCCAGUAACAGAUAGAGAUGAAGUUCUAAAAAACCAUAACAUGCAGAGGUGAUAAUAAGAACUGGCAUGACUGGUUAUGAAAAUGUUUUAGGCUUGUGCACACUGAAAAAUGUCAGAUUCAACCCAGCAGGAGGAUUGUGAGAAGAGUCAACAUGGCCCUUCAAAACUGUUGGGUUGGGUCAGGUUGGAACUCGAAUGUUUUUUCAUGUCAGACUCCUCAAGCCCUUUCUGUGUACUUUCCUGUCCUCUCCUGUCAUCUUCCUCCUCCUCCUCCUCCUUACCUGGGACUGGUGAGGAAACCAGGAAACCAGGUUUCACAUCAUCCUCUUUGGCCAUAGCUGCACCCCUUAAAACAACAACACUACAAAUCCCAUAAUCCCCUAAGCCUCUUGAGGAUUGAAACCUAAUUCAAAGUUGGGGGGAAGAUUUAAAAUGAAGCUGCAAGACGAAUUGCCAGGAGGCUGAUUGCUGAGUGCACCCCAUGGGGGUAGCAAAGAUGGUGUGAAACCUGUUUUCUGGCCCCAAUCUCCUCCCAGGAAAGGAGCGGGAGGAGGAGAGGGCAGGCGAGAGCAGGAGAAGUCAAGGGAAGGGCAGCUUCUGUCUGACCAACAUGAAUGUUGGAAUUCUGAUGGAAUUCCACACUGACAGUGGGGAACUCAGUUGGAAGUUUCAACUGUUGCAGCUUCCUGCUGUCACUGUGGAACUCCAUCCGAUAAUGCUCGACAGAUGACAUAUCAAGUCUGACAUGCUUGUUGGGCCAUCACAACUGCAUAGCCCUAAAAUGUUCUGUCCAAUAUGAUUGCUUUAUUGCUUUUGCUGGGGAAAGAAAACAAUGUUUAUGAGUUUUAUAUGUCUAAGAUAGAGUUAAAAUAUAACAGAUGCAGCUUAUACAGGGCAUAUACUGGACAGAUUGAGUUCAUACCAGCAGAGAGGCUAUAAAUAAAGCUAGAUAGAAGCGCAAACCACCUA
Molecule: long non-coding RNA, 1259 nt
Organism: Hemicordylus capensis (graceful crag lizard)
Lineage: Eukaryota; Metazoa; Chordata; Lepidosauria; Squamata; Cordylidae
Exons: 3
Source: RefSeq, a predicted model, not a curated record